GUGCUUGCUUCAGCAGCGUAUAUACUAAAACUGGAACGAUAUAGAGAAGAUUAGCAUGGCCUCUGUGAAAGACGACGUGCAAAUUCAAAAAUAGGAGGAUCAGGAC
Molecule: small nuclear RNA, 106 nt
Filed under: Chinchilla lanigera (long-tailed chinchilla)
Lineage: Eukaryota; Metazoa; Chordata; Mammalia; Rodentia; Chinchillidae
Source: RNAcentral